ACGGAGGAUGCGAGCGUUAUCCGGAUUUAUUGGGUUUAAAGGGAGCGCAGACGGGGGAUUAAGUCAGUUGUGAAAGUUUGGGGCUCAACCUUAAAAUUGCAGUUGAUACUGGUUCUCUUGAGUGCAGUUGAGGCAGGCGGAAUUCGUGGUGUAGCGGUGAAAUGCUUAGAUAUCACGAAGAACCCCGAUUGCGAAGGCAGCUUGCUAAACUGUAACUGACGUUCAUGCUCGAAAGUGUGGGUAUCAAACAG
This 251-nucleotide ribosomal RNA is filed under the name uncultured bacterium. RNAcentral describes it as "partial 16S ribosomal RNA". It matches the Rfam family "Bacterial small subunit ribosomal RNA", at positions 525 to 775 of the family's 1533-position model. The record is from RNAcentral.